Long non-coding RNA from Rana temporaria (common frog), 473 nucleotides. RefSeq lists it as uncharacterized. The record is from RefSeq and is a predicted model, not a curated record. The transcript is spliced from 3 exons. NCBI's taxonomy places the organism in Eukaryota, Metazoa, Chordata, Amphibia, Anura, Ranidae.
ACCCUCCUCCUUUGCUGAUUGGCGGAGAGAUCGGAAUGGCAGGUGCGGCGUGAUUGGUCAGAUUCAGGCGGGAACUUGAAGCCAGAGAAGGAUGGAGCAGCAGGCAGCAAUGCAGGAGUUUGAAGAGUCGGUGGCGGAGUUGAACGCUGAGUUGGAUCGGUUGAGCCGCAAUAUUCAGGGCGUCGCCCAAUACCAGACCUCCGUGUUCCACGUCACCAAAGUGCUGUGCACCUGGAUGGACAAGAUCGAGGCUUUGGCCCGACACCGAGCCCAACACCCGCUCACCUCCGCCUCCUCCCAAUGACUUACCUGAAGCGGCAGAGAGAUCCCGCGACACCGUGGCCUUCCAGAAACCGCCGGCAUGGCCCCGCCCUCCCGAUACCACCGACGUGGCGUCCUGUAGAUAACAUCCAAUCACAGGGUGAAGAACUGACACAAGUUAUAUUUAUUGGUUAAUAAAGAACUCGUCUGUA